UUUUCGUAGGUGAACCUGCGGAAGGAUCAUUAGUGAAUUUUGGGGAGUCCCGCUUAACCGGCGAAGGCCCCGUUUUCUACUACCUUUACACCCUGUGCAAUUGUCCCUUUUUAUUAUAACCCUUGUGCAUUACCAAAGGUUGUUGUCUAAACACAUUUGAUAAAUGAAAGAAAAACUUUCAGCAAUGGAUCUCUUGGCUCUCGCAUCGAUGAAGACGCAGC
This 221-nucleotide unclassified non-coding RNA is filed under the name uncultured fungus. Its description in RNAcentral is "sequence contains ITS1, 5.8S rRNA gene". The stretch from base 174 to 221 matches the Rfam family "5.8S ribosomal RNA", at positions 1 to 49 of the family's 154-position model. The record is from RNAcentral. Lineage: Eukaryota; Fungi.